RNAcentral lists this ribosomal RNA (319 nucleotides) under uncultured eukaryote. RNAcentral's name for it is "partial 18S ribosomal RNA". It matches the Rfam family "Eukaryotic small subunit ribosomal RNA", at positions 1470 to 1796 of the family's 1831-position model. The record is from RNAcentral.
CCCUUAGAUGAUUUGGGCUGCACGCGCGCUACACUGACCCUAACAAUGAGCAACUGUCUGGCCUGAGAUGGCUGGGUAGCCUUUUCAACCCAUGUCAUGAUUGGGCUAGAUUUUUGUAAGUCUUGAUCUCUAACGAGGAAUCCCUAGUAUGCGUGAAUCAUCAAUCCAUGCAGAUUAUGUCCCUGCCCUUUGUACACGCCGCCCGUCGCUCCUACUGAUUGGGUGAUCCGGUGAGCUGUUCGGCCAUAGCAAUGUUUCUUGAGCAGGGCAAUGAAUGUUUCGCAAACCUUGCCACUUAGAGGAAGGAGAAGUCGUAACA